AGUGGACGCAUCACUGGUGUUCGGGUUGUCAUGCCAAUGGCACUGCCCGGUAGCUAAAUGCGGAAGAGAUAAGUGCUGAAAGCAUCUAAGCACGAAACUUGCCCCGAGAUGAGUUCUCCCUGACUCCCUGAGAGUCCUGAAGGAACGUUGAAGACGACGACGUUGAUAGGCCGGGUGUGUAAGCGCAGCGAUGCGUUGAGCUAACCGGUACUAAUGAACCGUGAGGCUUAACCUU
Molecule: ribosomal RNA, 235 nt
Filed under: Escherichia coli
Lineage: Bacteria; Pseudomonadati; Pseudomonadota; Gammaproteobacteria; Enterobacterales; Enterobacteriaceae
Description: partial 23S ribosomal RNA
Rfam family: Bacterial large subunit ribosomal RNA
Source: RNAcentral